RNAcentral lists this long non-coding RNA (226 nucleotides) under Elaeis guineensis (African oil palm). RNAcentral's name for it is "long non-coding RNA (EGUI_LNC040960)". Lineage: Eukaryota; Viridiplantae; Streptophyta; Magnoliopsida; Arecales; Arecaceae. The record is from RNAcentral.
AGAGAUAUGAAAAAUCUUAAAAUAGUCAAAGUGCAACUAUAGAGACUUGAGCUUUUGUAGAUACCUAAAGAAAAUAGGAUCUCGGACCACAUAUUCUUCUUGAGACUAUCCGACGAUGAGUUGCAAGUCAGUGAAUACCCAUAGGCACUUCACACCGAGAUCUUUAGCGAUCUUUAGUCCGACUAUUAAGGCUUCAUACUUUGCUUGGUUGUUUGAAACCUUGAAG